This is a long non-coding RNA of Amphiprion ocellaris (clown anemonefish), 854 nucleotides long. NCBI's taxonomy places the organism in Eukaryota, Metazoa, Chordata, Actinopteri, Pomacentridae. The record is from Ensembl.
GAAAGCAAGAGAGCGAAUGUGUGUUGUAUAUGUCUGAGUGUGUGUGUUUGUGCGUGUGCUCGCUCUGUUCCUUUCCUUUCUUUGUUUGACUACUGAGUGGGAGAAAAAAAAAGAGAAAGAAGCGAGACAGAAUAUAGAGAGAUAGUGAGAGAGGGUGAGGAAGAGAAAACACAGACAGAGGAGAAGAAGAGGAGGAUCUAAAAGGAGAGUUUAUUUUUUAGACAAGAAGAAAGACAAAGAGGAUUUCUGUUUUGGGGCUGCUUUCUUUUUUUCCUUCUGUUCUAUACUUGCAGAAUAGAAUAGGAAAUAUAUAUAUAUAAAUACAAAAACAACAACAACAACAGUGCUGCAUGCUUUUGACAACAGUGUCAUAUUCAGUGAGUGUUUUGUGUGCUGGCUCAGUGCGCGUGUGUGCUGAGGAGGUGGGGGGAGGCAGCCUGUGCAAUUUAAAGGGAAAAUACAAGACACACACAAAGCUGGGAGCGCAGGCAAGGCAAGGCAAGGCAAGGCAGCAGGAAAGGCAAAAGGAAAGGGAAGCUAGUGGGAAUCUGCUGAGCUGGCUCCCACCAACAAGACUCUUUUUGGAUUUUACUCCAGCGAAGCCGGCUCCGUGUCUCCCCUGUGCACUCAGCCUGCUCCCGGCAACGGAGGUCGGAGAUGUCAUGGUGGCUCCUGGCUGCUGAAAGAGAAGGACUAGUUCACCCAUGAUCAUCAGCAGCCACCAGUGUUCGUGGGAGACACCAAGAACAUCAAAACCCCCGAGAAUUCACUUGUUCAAGCCUCUGGCAUAAGAAGAGUUCUUAUUUUUCUUACUUUUUUGUGAUGGUAAACUGUUUUUGUCUUUGGGUUUUCAU